AAGAGACAGCAGUAGCCACGGUAAUACGAAGGGUGCAAGCGUUAAUCGGAAUUACUGGGCGUAAAGCGUGCGUAGGCGGUGAGUUAAGUCUGCUGUGAAAUCCCCGGGCUCAACCUGGGAAUGGCAGUGGAUACUGGCUCGCUAGAGUGUGUCAGAGGAUGGUGGAAUUCCCGGUGUAGCGGUGAAAUGCGUAGAGAUCGGGAGGAACAUCAGUGGCGAAGGCGGCCAUCUGGGACAACACUGACGCUGAGGCACGAAAGCGUGGGGAGCAAACAGGAUUAGAUACCCCGGUAGUCCCUGUCUCUUAUAC
RNAcentral lists this ribosomal RNA (310 nucleotides) under uncultured bacterium. RNAcentral describes it as "partial 16S ribosomal RNA". It matches the Rfam family "Bacterial small subunit ribosomal RNA", at positions 503 to 807 of the family's 1533-position model. The record is from RNAcentral.